RNAcentral lists this small nuclear RNA (201 nucleotides) under Nomascus leucogenys (northern white-cheeked gibbon). RNAcentral describes it as "7SK RNA". It matches the Rfam family "7SK RNA". From Rfam's summary of the family: 7SK was discovered as an abundant small nuclear RNA in the mid-70s but a possible function has only recently been suggested. Two independent studies have found that 7SK RNA binds the CDK9/cyclin T complex (known as elongation factor P-TEFb). P-TEFb activates transcription by phosphorylating the C-terminal domain of RNA polymerase II. The record is from Rfam by way of RNAcentral. Lineage: Eukaryota; Metazoa; Chordata; Mammalia; Primates; Hylobatidae.
GGGUGAUCUGGCUGCAACAUCUGUCACCCCAUUGAUCGCCAGGAUUGACUGAGCUGAUCUGGAUGGCUAUGUGUGUGUGUGUGUGUGUGUGUGUGUGUGUGUUUAUACAUACGUGUAUAUAUAUGGUAUAUAGUAUACUACAUAUACAUAUAUACACACAUAUACACAUAUGUAUAUACACACGUAUAUAUACACCUAUGU